This is a long non-coding RNA of Notothenia coriiceps (black rockcod), 787 nucleotides long. RefSeq lists it as uncharacterized. The record is from RefSeq and is a predicted model, not a curated record. Lineage: Eukaryota; Metazoa; Chordata; Actinopteri; Perciformes; Nototheniidae. The transcript is spliced from 2 exons.
CUCUAUUGCCUAAUUGAAAUGUAAUUGUUAAAUGUUUCUCCACUCAGUGUGAAACGUAGAGGCACCGCUGAGCCAGAUAAAGAGGAGGAACCGCUCCAAUACACAGAGCCCCCUGUCCAGAUCAGUAAGAGAACAGCCAAUCACAGCGCAGCACCACAAAUCAAGGAGCCUAAGAGGGAGUCGGGCUGCAGCGUGUGGAAGGGGGUCCGGCUGCUGCUGCUGCUAGCCGUGUUAGCAGCAACAGUCUACUACGCAUACUGCCGGGUGGUCAACAAUGAAGAGGAUCCUUUUGGGAUUCAAUGAUCGGAUGUUAUCAUGUCAUUUCUUCUCCAAUAGUGUCAGCAGUAGAGAGAGUGACCACAUGCCUUAAAGGCAGGAACAUUCUAGUUCUCUGUGUCACUAAGUCAGUGAAAUGAACAAAACCAGACAGAGUAUGAUCUGUGUAGGAAGAGCCUUUUGGGAGGGGAGCUAUCAGACUCCCCUCCCCCUGACCAACAACAAAUUAUUGUUUUCAAUCAUUUGUCUUUUAUAAUAAAUAUAUAUUUUUAUUGAAAUGGUGUCCCUCAAUCAUGUUUAGUUCAAUUACUGCAUUUCUGAAUGUAGAGGUGUCAUUUUGGUGGUGAAGGUUUUAUUUGUAAUAUUGAUUGGUCCAAAAUGUGAGCAGAUUGCCUGUCAAUCAUACAGGUCAUAUUGUUUGUGCUUUGUUAGGUAUUUGACAAUGCCUAAAAAAUAUCUCUGUUCGAUCCAAAUAUCCCACAAUUAAAAUAUUUUAAUAGCUUUUAAUACA